Molecule: ribosomal RNA, 1387 nt
Filed under: uncultured bacterium
Lineage: Bacteria
Description: 16S ribosomal RNA
Rfam family: Bacterial small subunit ribosomal RNA
Source: RNAcentral
UUCGCCCUUAGAGUUUGAUCCUGGCUCAGGACGAACGCUGGCGGCGUGCUUAACACAUGCAAGUCGAGCGGGGAUGUAGGAAGUGCAUGCACAGAAUACAUUCUAGCGGCGGACGGGUGAGUAACGCGUGAGCAAUCUGUCCCAGACAGGGGGAUAACAGAUGGAAACAUCUGCUAAUACCGCAUAAGACCACAACGUCACAUGGCGAAGGGGUAAAAGGAGGAAUCCGGUUUGGGGUGAGCUCGCGUCCGAUUAGCUAGUUGGCGAGGUAAGGGCCCACCAAGGCGACGAUCGGUAGCCGACCUGAGAGGGUGAUCGGCCACACUGGAACUGAGAGACGGUCCAGACUCCUACGGGAGGCAGCAGUGGGGAAUAUUGGGCAAUGGGCGAAAGCCUGACCCAGCAACGCCGCGUGAGGGAAGAAGGUUUUCGGAUUGUAAACCUCUGUCCUUGGUGACGAAGGAAGUGACGGUAGCCAAGGAGGAAGCCCCGGCUAACUACGUGCCAGCAGCCGCGGUAAUACGUAGGGGGCGAGCGUUGUCCGGAAUGACUGGGCGUAAAGGGCGUGUAGGCGGCCGAUUAAGUCUGGAGUGAAAGUCCUGCUUUCAAGGUGGGAACUGCUUUGGAGACUGGUUGGCUUGAGUGCGGAAGAGGUAAGUGGAAUUCCCAGUGUAGCGGUGAAAUGCGUAGAGAUUGGGAAGAACACCAGUGGCGAAGGCGACUUACUGGGCCGUAACUGACGCUGAGGCGCGAAAGCGUGGGGAGCGAACAGGAUUAGAUACCCUGGUAGUCCACACCGUAAACGAUGAUUACUAGGUGUUGGAGGAUUGACCCCUUCAGUGCCGCAGUUAACACAAUAAGUAAUCCACCUGGGGAGUACGACCGCAAGGUUGAAACUCAAAGGAAUUGACGGGGGCCCGCACAAGCAGUGGAGUAUGUGGUUUAAUUCGACGCAACGCGAAGAACCUUACCAAGUCUUGACAUCCUGCGACGAUGCUGGAAACAGUAUUUUCCUUCGGGACGCAGAGACAGGUGGUGCAUGGUUGUCGUCAGCUCGUGUCGUGAGAUGUUGGGUUAAGUCCCGCAACGAGCGCAACCCCUGCCAUUAGUUGCUACGCAAGAGCACUCUAAUGGGACCGCUACCGACAAGGUGGAGGAAGGUGGGGACGACGUCAAAUCAUCAUGCCCCUUAUGACCUGGGCUACACACGUAAUACAAUGGUCAUUAACAGAGGGAAGCAAAGCCGCGAGGCAGAGCAAAACCCCAAAAAUGAUCUCAGUUCGGAUCGCAGGCUGCAACCCGCCUGCGUGAAGUUGGAAUUGCUAGUAAUCGCAGAUCAGCAUGCUGCGGUGAAUACGUUCCCGGGUCUUGUACACACCGCCCGUCA